GCAGCAUCCCUUGCGAUUUGAAAUUCACUCCUCAUUCUCACUUUAGUGAAUAACCCUGUAGUGUUUUAUAUUGGCACCGCAUUCCAGGUGGCACAGGUAACCCAUUCCAGGUUCAACAGGACAUGGGACAUUCUAAAUGGAACCAGAACAUAGAACUCCAAAAUGGAACGUCCGCAGACCUCCACAGGAGAGAGCUACGGACAUUCUAUGCAUGACGCCUCA
Pelobates cultripes (western spadefoot toad) is the source of this 222-nucleotide non-coding RNA. Lineage: Eukaryota; Metazoa; Chordata; Amphibia; Anura; Pelobatidae. The record is from the annotation of a GenBank genome assembly.